AUUGAACGCUGGCGGCAGGCCUAACACAUGCAAGUCGAGCGGAUGAAGGGAGCUUGCUCCUGGAUUCAGCGGCGGACGGGUGAGUAAUGCCUAGGAAUCUACCUGGUAGUGGGGGAUAACGUCCGGAAACGGGCGCUAAUACCGCAUACGUCCUGAUGGAGAAAGUGGGGGAUCUUCGGACCUCACGCUAUCAGAUGAGCCUAGGUCGGAUUAGCUAGUUGGUGGGGUAAAGGCCUACCAAGGCGACGAUCCGUAACUGGUCUGAGAGGAUGAUCAGUCACACUGGAACUGAGACACGGUCCAGACUCCUACGGGAGGCAGCAGUGGGGAAUAUUGGACAAUGGGCGAAAGCCUGAUCCAGCCAUGCCGCGUGUGUGAAGAAGGUCUUCGGAUUGUAAAGCACUUUAAGUUGGGAGGAAGGGCAGUAAGUUAAUACCUUGCUGUUUUGACGUUACCAACAGAAUAAGCACCGGCUAACUUCGUG
This 484-nucleotide ribosomal RNA is filed under the name uncultured bacterium. RNAcentral's name for it is "partial 16S ribosomal RNA". It matches the Rfam family "Bacterial small subunit ribosomal RNA", at positions 30 to 507 of the family's 1533-position model. The record is from RNAcentral.